CCAAUAGCGUAUAUUAAAGUUGCUGCAGUUAAAAAGCUCGUAGUUGAAUUUCGGGACCAUCAUGUCGGUCGUGCCUCGGUACGUACUGGCAUUGUUGGUUUCUCCCUUCUGACGAACCAUGAUGUCAUUUAUUUGGUGUUGUGGGGAAUCAGGACUGUUACUUUGAAAAAAUUAGAGUGUUUAAAGCAGGCUCACGCUUGAAUACAUUAGCAUGGAAUAAUGAAAUAGGACGUUUGAAUCUAUUAUGUUGGUUUCUAGGAUCGACGUAAUGAUUAAUAGGGAUAGUUGGGGGCAUUAGUAUUCAAUUGUCAGAGGUGAAAUUCUUGGAUUUAUUGAAGGCUAACUACUGCGAAAGCAUUUGCCAAGGAUGUUUUCAUUAAUCAAGAACGAAAGUUAGGGGAUCGAAGACGAUCAGAUACCGUCGUAGUCUUAACCAUAAACUAUGCCGACUAGGGAUCGGAUGAUGUUAAUUUUUUAAUGACUCAUUCGGCGCCUUACG
Molecule: ribosomal RNA, 499 nt
Filed under: uncultured Glomeromycotina
Lineage: Eukaryota; Fungi; Glomeromycota
Description: partial small subunit ribosomal RNA
Rfam family: Eukaryotic small subunit ribosomal RNA
Source: RNAcentral